AAUCAACGCUGGCGGCGUGCCUCAGACAUGCAAGUCGAACGAGAAAGUUUCCUUCGGGGAAUGAGUAAAGUGGCGCACGGGUGAGUAACACGUAGGUAAUCUACCUUCGGGCGGGGAAUAACCCAGGGAAACUUGGGCUAACACCGCAUAAUGCAGCGGCACCACAUGGUGACAGUUGUUAAAGCGGGGGAUUUUAGGACCUCGCGCCUGAAGAGGAGCCUGCGGCGGAUUAGCUAGUUGGAAGGUAACGGCUUACCAAGGCGACGAUCCGUAACCGGCCUGAGAGGGCGGGUCGGUCACACUGACACUGACAUACGGGUCAGACUCCUACGGGAGGCAGCAGUCGGGAAUUUUGGGCAAUGGG
RNAcentral lists this ribosomal RNA (364 nucleotides) under uncultured bacterium. RNAcentral's name for it is "bacterial SSU rRNA". It matches the Rfam family "Bacterial small subunit ribosomal RNA", at positions 32 to 375 of the family's 1533-position model. The record is from RNAcentral.